GCGCGAAAACUUUACAAUGCCGGCAACGGCGAUAAGGGGACCUCGAGUGCCAGGUUACAAAUCUGGCUGUCGUGAUGCCUAAAAAGCAUUGCAUAGCAAGGGCCGGGCAAGACCGGUGCCAGCCGCCGCGGUAACACCGGCGGCUCGAGUGGUAACCGUUAUUAUUGGGUCUAAAGGGUCUGUAGCCGGCCGGAUAAGUCUCUUGGGAAAUCCAGCAGCUCAACUGUUGGGCUUUCAGGAGAUACUGUCUGGCUCGAGGCCGGGAGAGGUGAGAGGUACUUCAGGGGUAGGGGUGAAAUCUUGUAAUCCUUGAAGGACCACCAGUGGCGAAGGCGUCUCACCAGAACGGACCUGACGGCAAGGGACGAAAGCUAGGGGCACGAACCGGAUUAGAUACCCGGGUAGUCCUAGCCGUAAACGAUACUCGCUAGGUGUCGGCCACGGUGCGACCGUUGUCGGUGCCGUAGGGAAGCCGUGAAGCGAGCCACCUGGGAAGUACGGCCGCAAGGCUGAAACCUUAAGGAAUUGGGACGGGGGUAGCACCGACGUAAC
RNAcentral lists this ribosomal RNA (552 nucleotides) under uncultured Methanosarcinales archaeon. RNAcentral describes it as "bacterial SSU rRNA". It matches the Rfam family "Archaeal small subunit ribosomal RNA", at positions 339 to 894 of the family's 1478-position model. The record is from RNAcentral. Lineage: Archaea; Methanobacteriati; Methanobacteriota; Methanomicrobia; Methanosarcinales.